AUGGCUAAAUUUUGGUGGAGCAGCUCGAUAGAUAAGCGAUCACUACAUUGGAUAUCAUGGAAGAAGCUAGCAACACCAAAGUGUAGGGGUGGCAUGGGAUUUCGAGACCUCCACCUCUUUAACUUGGCAUUAUUGGGGAAGCAAGGGUGGCGCCUCAUCACCAAUCCCAUCACCCAGUGUGCUAGAGUGCUCAAAGGAAAAUACUUCCUAGAUCCAGACUUCAUGCAAGCAACAACUCCAAGCUCUUCCUCGGCAACCUGGAGAGCCAUCAUUGUUGGUCGGGAAGCGUUGAAGACCGAACUUAUUAAGCGUGUUGGGGACAGAUCCACUAUCUCGAUUUGGAAUGAUCGAUGGAUCCCAUCUACAGAUACAAUGGUUCCUCUAGUUCGGCCUCCAGCCACCACUGUCUCGCUGGUCAGUGACCUAAUUGACACAGAUAACUGGACAUGGAAGAGGGAACUAGUUCAGGACACAUUCAUGCCUACAGAUGCAGGAGCCAUAUUAAACAUACCACUGUGA
This 519-nucleotide ribosomal RNA is filed under the name Triticum aestivum (bread wheat). RNAcentral's name for it is "partial small subunit ribosomal RNA". Lineage: Eukaryota; Viridiplantae; Streptophyta; Magnoliopsida; Poales; Poaceae. The record is from RNAcentral.